CAAGCCUGAUGCAGCCAUGCCGCGUGUAUGAAGAAGGCCUUCGGGUUGUAAAGUACUUUCAGCGGGGAGGAAGGUGUUGUGGUUAAUAACCGCAGCAAUUGACGUUACCCGCAGAAGAAGCACCGGCUAACUUCGUGCCAGCAGCCGCGGUAAUACGAAGGGGGCUAGCGUUGUUCGGAAUUACUGGGCGUAAAGCGCACGUAGGCGGAUAUUUAAGUCAGGGGUGAAAUCCCAGAGCUCAACUCUGGAACUGCCUUUGAUACUGGGUAUCUUGAGUAUGGAAGAGGUAAGUGGAAUUCCGAGUGUAGAGGUGAAAUUCGUAGAUAUUCGGAGGAACACCAGUGGCGAAGGCGGCUUACUGGUCCAUUACUGACGCUGAGGUGCGAAAGCGUGGGGAGCAAACA
Molecule: ribosomal RNA, 404 nt
Filed under: uncultured Pseudomonadota bacterium
Lineage: Bacteria; Pseudomonadati; Pseudomonadota
Description: bacterial SSU rRNA
Rfam family: Bacterial small subunit ribosomal RNA
Source: RNAcentral